CGUCACGGCGUGCCUUCACUGCAGGGUGCAAACACUCAGGGAUUGGCUGGGAACCGAGGGCAGAAGUGGCGUGCAGGGCUUGCCGGCACUGGGGGCGGAAGCGGCCGAGCCGGCCGGGAUCGGCUCGGGACCUGACGGGCCGGGCCGGGAUGCCGAGGCGGCAGAAGCAGCUCCCCGCCGCUAGGACCCCUGCGGGGUUUGUUGCCGAGCGAAGGUGGCGCACCAGCUACACCGAGGAAAGUUGCAGCUGGCGUGCUGCAGCCGCGGGUUUCCCAGGAGAAAGAGCAGCCCGACUGUCCCAGCUGUCCAGAAGACUUACUUCAGCGUCGAAUAAACCCCGUGCGAAGCGACCCCGACUCAUGCCAGUGGGACCAUCGCGUUGUGGCUGGUAAAAUCCAGGAACAGGACAAUGCUUGGAAGAAUGUAACCUAUGGAGGAGCAGGCAACAGUCUCCUGUUAGGCAACAGGCUCGUGUGCGUCUGUUUGGCUUGUCCCGAUGGCUGGUGUAGAUGACUGCUCACGUGCCCCAAAGCUCCUUGUGCUGAUGUUGGAUCUGCCCCUCGGCAAAGGACCGCAUCCCGUGUGUUCAGCUUUUCUUCCUUACCAUGUCGUAUGAGAAAAGCUCUUUCCAGAGAGAUGGAGAAGGAAUUAAUUAUACCUCUGCCUCAUCCUGUGAGACCAGAAGACAAUGACUCACUAACUGUAAGCUGCGAUUCUCAGGAGUCGCAUGGCUAAGAGUCUCAGGUUCCUUCUCUGCCUGCCCCCCAGGGCCUUAGGCAUGAGAAAUCUUAGGCUUAAUGUUUUUGCCUAUGAAAUACUGUCGCGUUAAGGGGCAUAGCUGACUACCUGUUACGGUUCUGGUCGGAUUCAGGGUACUGAACUGUCACGGUCACGGAUUCACCUAAAUAACGUAGCACACCCUCGCUCUAGUCGCGUUCAAUGACAACUGUCACAGCUAGGAACAAUGCACUGAACAGCAAUUUAUUACAGCAACAAGGACACAGGUUCUUUGGAUCGCCGGCGGUAAAUUCACUGUCCGCGAAAGCAAGCGAGCAUGCAUGCUCAGCGCUCAGUGGUCGCACCUUGGAGGCACGGAGCUUUUGGGAUGGAGGUGUGUUUUGAUCUUAUGAUGAUACUAGAAUGAGCAAAAGUUCCCUAGAGUACAGUGUUUUGUUAAAAACAUGACAGGUCGUUGGCUCAGGGUAGCAAACGUGCAGCUUAUCGGUCUCAGUGUGCACAAGAGCAUCGCGUCCCCAUCUGGUCGCAGAGCCUAUCCGUGGUGUUUCCACUCCGCCUUACGCUCCGUCCCGUUCCUUAGAGUCAGCACACUGAGUUCCCCUAGUGCGAUAGCAUGUAAAGUUGGAGGCCUAGGGAACGCUUAGGUAGCGCAGCUGCCCUCCACCCUGAAAGCUUCUUCAGUGCUGUACGCUUUCUUUAAAAGGUAAAUAUGAGUUUAAUUGGCCUAGUUACUUCAGGCAAUUACUCUGCAACUACCCAAAGCAGCGAUAGUGAGAAGCCCACUUCCAGCAUCCGCUCCCCACGCAGGGAUGGACGGGUGGACAGACGGAUGCCGCUCUUUGCCUUGCCCGCCAGGGGAAGGGGAGAAUGACCGGGCAGGGAGCCCCACCGCAGCCCCCCUCCCGGGAGUCCUGCACAGCAGUUUAAUAAAGUUUGCUUUCCGGCCCGUGCCCCCUUUGGUGGUUGCCGCCGCGCUUGCCGUCGCUCAGCUUCCCAGCCGUGAGCGGCACGUUGCCCAAGGCAGAUCCUGAGGCCUCCCUGAGGCGGCGUGGGGUGCAAAUUCCUGCUGUUUUCGUUUGUGCUUCUUCUGGGAAAAUGGUCUGGGAAGCUGUGCCUGCUGACCUCGGGACGCCCCCUGCCGGGGAAAGAACCCGUGGGUUGUUGGCUCAAGCCCCACCUUUGGAAUUCCCCAUUCUCCACCAUCAACCAGGAAAUUGGGUCCUGAUUCGGAUCUGGAAAGAAUCAAAACUCCGGCCUGAAUGGGAAGGACUAUUCCAAGUACUACUAACCACUGAAACAGCCGUAAGAACUGCAGAAAAAGUCUGAACUCACUAUACUCGAGUGAAGGCAUCCGUCGACCCUAGUAACUGGGAAGCUGUUCCUACAGAAGACUUGUUGGAAGUUGAAAUCGAGGAGAAAAAUCUUGUAGUGGACUCUGAGCAGGAUAAAAGCUUACAAUUGUAAACUAACCUUUUAUUUUCACAGGUAACUAAUGAGUGUGACUUGUGAUUGAGAGAAGGGACUGGCCUAUGGCAAAUCGAAGUGCUCCCAAGGGGUUUUUGUUCUAGUAGUAGUGUACAUAUAUCUUACUCUUUGUAUUGGUAAUUAUUUGGAAACCUAAGGGUUAAAAAUAAUGACAGGGAAAAAUCAACUAUUAAUUUUGUUUCUAGUGAUUGUGGGCCUCAGAGAAGGCCUUGGUCAAUUGGCAACUUGGAAAAGCCAUGACCAGAUAAUAGUAAGACGGGAUACCCCGUCAAAAUAGGGGGUGAAUGUGACAGAGGAUUAUGUACCACAGUCUGUCAUGUCUGAUGCUUGUGAGGUGUUAGCUUGUGGAGAUUUAAAUGCCCAAUGACAAUUGAGCAGAGAGAACAAAUAACUGGGAGAGACCCAACAGCCAGAUUGAGAAUAGCUGUAUGGAAACGAUCUUCUAUUUCCAUCAGAGAAAGGGAGAAACUCAAGGAGAAAACAGGAGAGAAGACAGGAGGCCCUCGUUGAAAUGCGGCAGUUCAAACAUUUGAGAUUGAAACAGGGUAUGGGGAUGUGAAUGCCUGGAUAGAAUGGGUCAAAUAUACUGUCCAGAAUCUCAACCAUAGCAAUUGCUAUGCUUGUGCCUCGGGACAACUGAUUGCCCAGAUAGUGCCCUUCCCAUUGGGGUGGACCAGGGAUUCCCAGGGGAUGCGAUGUAUGAUUGCAUUGUACCAAGAAAAGACUGCCAGGGGAAAUGAGGCCUGUAAGUCUCUCUCUUUGCUGUUCCCUUCCUUGCGUGAUAGCAGUAUCAGGGUUCCCCCUGCAUUCUCUACAGCUAUAGGUAACCAUACAGCUUGCCUCUCACGGCAGGGUAUGAGUGCUACCCGGCAUCUGGGAGAAUUUGCCUUGUGCAUGAGGACCUUGAAUGCUACCAAGGACUUGAUGGGAAACUGCUCAAGACUUGAGAUCCCCAGGGCAGAUCUGUGGUGGUACUGUGGAGGGAAGAUCUUACGGUCCACCCUACCAUCUAAUUGGGGAGGCACUUGUGCACUUGUUCAAUUAGCUAUACCCUUCACCCUGGCAUUUGAAAGAGAAACAUCACAAAUACCCAGAAGAAGUAAAAGAGGCUUAGGAAUAUCAUUUGAUGAUAGAGUAUAUAUAGAUUCUAUUGGGGUGCCUAGAGCAGUUUCCGAUGAACAGAAAACCAGGAAUCAAGUUGCUGCAGGGUUUGAGUCACUGUUCUGGUGGGUAACAACCAAUAAGAGUAUUUAUUAUAGUCAGCAGAUAUUCAUAAAUUAUACAAGGGAUGCGAUAAGAGAAAUCGCUGAACAACUAGAUGACACCAGCAAAAUGGCUUAGGAAAACAGAAUAGCAUUAGAUAUGAUGAUCGCGGAGAAAGGAGGUGUGUGUGUGUGUGUGUGUGUGUGAUACUGAGCAACCAUUGUUGCACUUUUAUACCCAACAAUGCUGCCCCAGAUGGCACAGUAACUAGAGCAUUGCAAGGGCUUACCGCCCUUGCCAGUGAGUCGGCAGAAUAAUUAGGAACAGGCACGUCCAUCACAGGAUGUUUGGAAUCUUGGUUUGGUAAAUGGAAAGGGAUCAUAGUGUCCAUAUUUGCAUCCUUGAUCGUAGUAGCAGGAGUUUUGACGGCCAUUGGUUGUUGCAUUAUCCCCUGUGUAAAAGGACUAGUACAAUGGUUAAUUGAAACUGCACUAUUGAAACAAAUGACCAUGGAGCCACCACCUUACUCAGAUACGGUGAUGAUAUUAGAGGAGAUGGAAAGCAAAGAGGGUGAAGAAGAGGAAGAUACCUACCAAAUUACACCUUAGAAGAAAGUUUUGCAAAAAUCAACAAUUUAUAAAGAAGAAAAGGGGGGAACUGUGGGAAUAAAAAUGUUGUUUUUGCAGAGUUACAUUGUUUAGAGGGAAGGAAUGUGGCAUUGAGAUAGGCUUGCAGUGAUAAGAAAGUGUAACAGACAACCUUGUAAAAUGCAGACAACCGGACUCCUUAGAGCAGUUAGGUGAAAAUCACAGUGUCAAGUCAGAUAAGUGAAGAAACAUUACCACUUCAAACAGUAAAAAAGUCAAAAGAAAUUUGAAAUUUAACAGGCCGGCAACUGAAGGUCAUGAAUUGUCUGUGAAGCGUCAGAUAGGUUGUGAACCUGGAAUACGCAGUCAGUUGGGAAACAGAGGAGGGUCCCGGUCAUCAAGAAAGAAAGUAUAUAAAAAAUGUACUAUGUGACUAGUAGGUGCGCUCCUGCUUGUGGGAUGCGUGCCAUUGCGAUCGCGAAUAAAUUACUACUUCACUGAGAUCCUUGCCUGAGCCUAAGUUACUAGCUAUGGAGUGUUUCUCACACUCCCUGCACAUAAUCCUGGCUACAAUAUACCAUGUUAUCGAAGGUGCCUUUUAAACAACAUUGAUAGAAACUCAAGGGGCGAUAGUACUGACCCUGGGUGUGGAACUACCCUAACAGGGAAUAAUCCAUACUGUACCAAAUAUGGUAGCCGCAGGAAUGCUAAUAUACAUAGCGCACACCAGAUGCAACAUGAGAAUCCUGUAACUGGAUGGCCUGUCCCAAAUGGCAAGAGGUGGUACUGGCUACGUGGCAAUAAAGCCAGGAAGGUGUUGCCCCUGGGAUGGAAGGGAGCUUGCACCCUGGAGGCAAUAAUUCCAAAUAUAACUAUUAUUGAAGACCCACAAAGCCAAAGCCCCCUUGAGACCACACGCAGGAUUAAGCAGACGCCAGAAAAUUCUCUAGUAAAAUUCUCUAGUAUUUCACAGCUUUGCAAGGUGGUUUUUACCUUGGUUAGGGGUGGGUGAAUUAGAAAAAGCUAUUGUAAAUAUCUCUGCUAUAACUGAAGAACUAGAAAAUAAGUUUGAUAAGUUUGCAAAAAUAGUACUGUAGAAUCGAAUAGUAUUAGAUUCAUUAAUAACCUCGUAAGGAGGAGCGUGCACUGUAAUUAAUGCUAGUUGCUGUAUAUAUGUAGAUCAAAUGGGACGAAUUUGACUGAUUUUGGGGGGAAAAAAAAGUAUAUUGGGAGGGUGUGGGGGGGAAAAGAUCCUACAUAGAGUAGCUCAAGAUGACAGUUCCUGGGCAUUUAGAAAAAUUUGGGAGGAACUAACUUUGUGGUUACCUGAACAGAAUUGGCUCAGACAACUAUUUGUUGGUAUUGUAAAACUAAUGGCAUUGUACACCUACCACCCCCCGUGACAUCUGAAGAAGACUAUUGCGCCUUAAUGUUGGAAAAACUCAAGAGUGCGGUAUGUGAAGAGGUGCAAAAACAACAGUAGGAGUAAGGAAAGAAGAGGGGGGAAUUGUGAGAAAACUAAGUUGUGUUUUGCAGUAGAGAACUAAUUUUCUGUAUUCCAAGUAGUUGUGUAGUCAUAAUAAGGAGAAAUGCUAUGUGGAUAAGUGGACAGUAGAAGGCCUCACUGUUCCAAAAUAAGGCAGAAGCUUGAGGAAAAACAGGUUGAGCAGUGUGGGAACAGUAAAACAAAGAUCACAGGUUCCUGAAACAUAAGAAAAGGAAAAAAAAAGAAAAUAAGACGGGAGAAAAUUAAAGGGUUGAAAAAAAAACUAAAAUUGUACAUAUAUGGUAUAGAGGAGCGUCGAGUAGUUUGUGAACCUGUAGUACUCGGCCAAUGAGGAACCAGGGGAGGUGAUCAGGUGUCAGGGAAUAGAGAAUAAAAGUUGAUGCUUUGUUUACUGGAAUGCACUCCUAAGUGGCAGGACGCCUGCCACUGCAACCGCGAAUAAAAUAGCUUCAC
Long non-coding RNA from Cygnus atratus (black swan), 5973 nucleotides. RefSeq lists it as uncharacterized. Lineage: Eukaryota; Metazoa; Chordata; Aves; Anseriformes; Anatidae. The record is from RefSeq and is a predicted model, not a curated record. The transcript is spliced from 7 exons.